This 91-nucleotide transfer RNA is filed under the name Paracoccidioides brasiliensis. Its description in RNAcentral is "tRNA-Arg". It matches the Rfam family "tRNA". From Rfam's summary of the family: Transfer RNA (tRNA) molecules are approximately 80 nucleotides in length. Their secondary structure includes four short double-helical elements and three loops (D, anti-codon, and T loops). The record is from RNAcentral. Lineage: Eukaryota; Fungi; Ascomycota; Eurotiomycetes; Onygenales; Ajellomycetaceae.
GGACCCGUGGCCCAAUUGGCAAGGCGUUUGACUACGAUUGAAUCUCUCUAUUCACAUCAAAAGAUUGUGGGUUCGAAUCCCACCGGGUUCA